AGGGCACCACCAGGAGUGGAGCCUGCGGCUUAAUUUGACUCAACACGGGAAAACUCACCCGGCCCGGACACUGAAAGGAUUGACAGAUUGAGAGCUCUUUCUUGAUUCAGUGGGUGGUGGUGCAUGGCCGUUCUUAGUUGGUGGAGCGAUUUGUCUGGUUAAUUCCGAUAACGAACGAGACUCUAGCCUACUAAAUAGAUCGCCGGUUUACAAACACCGGUGAGACUUCUUAGAGGGACAGGCGGCGAUUCAGCCGCACGAAACAGAGCAAUAACAGGUCUGUGAUGCCCUUAGAUGUCCGGGGCCGCACGCGCGCUACACUGAAGUGAUCAGCGUGCAUUUUAAGCCUACUCUGCCAAGAGUGGGAAAUCCAAUGAACCUUCUUCGUGAUUGGGAUAGGGGAUUGUAAUUAUUCCCCUUGAACGAGGAAUUCCCAGUAAGCGCGAGUCAUAAGCUCGCGUUGAUUACGUCCCUGCCCUUUGUACACACCGCCCGUCGCUACUACCGAUUGAAUGUUUU
Molecule: ribosomal RNA, 519 nt
Filed under: uncultured eukaryote
Lineage: Eukaryota
Description: SSU rRNA
Rfam family: Eukaryotic small subunit ribosomal RNA
Source: RNAcentral